This 525-nucleotide long non-coding RNA is filed under the name Ananas comosus (pineapple). RNAcentral describes it as "long non-coding RNA (ACOM_LNC040423)". The record is from RNAcentral. Lineage: Eukaryota; Viridiplantae; Streptophyta; Magnoliopsida; Poales; Bromeliaceae.
GGUGUCACGCCCCGGGACCGGCGGAGGCCCUCCCGGUAGCGUGCCCAGACCCGCCAUAUGUCUACACAUAUAAGGCGUCUACAAUAAAAGCGGAAGUAAAAGCAAGUAAUAGAACAAAUAGAAGAAGUGGAAUAAUGAGCAGCUAAUGAUAUCAGAGCGAGUAAAGUUCUAAUAUCUACACCAAGGUAAAGAAGUAAAGCUAGACAAUAAAAGAAAUCAUAAGUAGUACAAUAUCUGUCUCAAAAGUACAAAAACGGUGGUCUCUAAUACACUGGUAGAACUCUCAACCUCUCGCAAAAGGAAACAAAAAUCGAGAGGUAGACCACCUAGCAACUAGUCCUCGAAGGAAGCUAGCUCGAAGCAACUCCCUUCCCGCGAUCCCUGGCCUCACCCUGAGUGGAAGGCUCUGUAAAAUAUCGAGAAAAAGAGGGCAUGAGAACUAUAAUUUAUAGUUCCCAGUGGGCAAUUACUGACCUCAGCUCAAUGCACCACUAGGCCCCAAAAGAAGAGGGUAAGUACAAUAAU